Molecule: ribosomal RNA, 510 nt
Filed under: uncultured Glomus
Lineage: Eukaryota; Fungi; Glomeromycota; Glomeromycetes; Glomerales; Glomeraceae
Description: SSU rRNA
Rfam family: Eukaryotic small subunit ribosomal RNA
Source: RNAcentral
AGCAGCCGCGGUAAUUCCAGCUCCAAUAGCGUAUAUUAAAGUUGUUGCAGUUAAAAAGCUCGUAGUUGAACUUCGGGGUUUACCCAUUGGUCAGGCUUAAUUGUCUGCACUGGUGAGAUGAAUCUCUACCUUCUGAGGAACUUUCAUGCCAUUUAUUUGGUGUGAUGGGAAAUCAGGACUGUUACUUUGAAAAAAUUAGAGUGUUUAAAGCAGGCUAACGUCUGAAUACAUUAGCAUGGAAUAAUGAAAUAGGACGGACUGAUUCUAUUUCGUUGGUUUCUAGGAUCACCGUAAUGAUUAAUAGGGAUAGUUGGGGGCAUUAGUAUUCAAUUGUCAGAGGUGAAAUUCUUGGAUUUAUUGAAGACUAACUACUGCGAAAGCAUUUGCCAAGGAUGUUUUCAUUAAUCAAGAACGAAAGUUAGGGGAUCGAAGACGAUCAGAUACCGUCGUAGUCUUAACCAUAAACUAUGCCGACUAGGGAUCGGACGAAGUUAAUUUUAUAAUGACGCG